GCCCUGAUGAAGAGUCCCAUACUAGGACGAAACGGCUGUCCAGUGC
This 46-nucleotide non-coding RNA is filed under the name Schistosoma mattheei. Lineage: Eukaryota; Metazoa; Platyhelminthes; Trematoda; Strigeidida; Schistosomatidae. The record is from RNAcentral.